Molecule: ribosomal RNA, 483 nt
Filed under: Cirrhitichthys aprinus (spotted hawkfish)
Lineage: Eukaryota; Metazoa; Chordata; Actinopteri; Centrarchiformes; Cirrhitidae
Description: partial small subunit ribosomal RNA
Rfam family: Bacterial small subunit ribosomal RNA
Source: RNAcentral
CACUAUGCCUUACCAUAAACAUUGAUAGAUUUAGUCACAUUUACUAUCCGCCUGGGUACUACAAGCACCAGCUUCAAACCCAAAGGACUUGGCGGUGCUUUAGACCCCUCUAGAGGAGCCUGUUCUAGAACCGAUAACCCCCGUUAAACCUCACCUUUCCUUGUACCCCCCGCCUAUAUAUCUCCGUCGCCAGCUUACCCUGUGAAGGCCUUAUAGUAAGUAUAACCGGUGAAUACCACCCCAAACGUCAGGUCGAGAUGUAGCGCAUGGGAAGGGAAGAAAUGGGCUACAUUACCUAGACAUAGCGUAACACGAAUGAUAACUUGAAACACUUAUCUGAAGGAGGAUUUAGUAGUAAGUAGAAAAUAGAGUGUUCUACUGAAACCGGCUCUGAAGCGCGCACACACCGCCCGUCACUCUCCCUGAGCUAAACUGUCAAUAUAAUUAAACUACUAAUAUUGCACGAGGGGAGGCAAGUCGUAA